Long non-coding RNA from Cavia porcellus (domestic guinea pig), 1604 nucleotides. RefSeq lists it as uncharacterized. The transcript is spliced from 4 exons. NCBI's taxonomy places the organism in Eukaryota, Metazoa, Chordata, Mammalia, Rodentia, Caviidae. The record is from RefSeq and is a predicted model, not a curated record.
AAACCAUGCUUCUGGGGUCCACACGCUGAGCCCUGCUCUCCACCUGCAGCUUGAUCAGAUGCCUGGAGCCUGAAGUGCUCGUGACUCAGGGUUUUAAAGAAACAAGUCCUGACUCUCUGGGUCUGUGCUAUUUCUAAGACUGUGUCUUCAGUAAACAAAGCUGAUGGUUCAGGCUUCUCCCCAGUGCGUGUCCACUCCUUGGCCCUGUGACUGCAUGUUGCUGCAGCUGGCUGCCUUUUCAGAUGUGGCUGUGGGGUCAGAGGCUGCACACGGGGACCUGGCCUAGCUGAGGAAGGAAGGAAGUUCUCAGCAACCACCAUGCUAAAUCCAGCGGUAAGAUUCUUGCAAAGUCCCUGCUGCUCCUGGAGACCUCCUGUGUCAGUUAGGUGCCCUGUGUGUUAGUGGACGCUGGACCAAGGUUUGCUGCGGUACUGGGGAGAUCUCAGCAAGCUGCAUGACCGCAGCGACAUCUCAGGUCAGAUGCUCACUGGACGUCCCUCAGGGGUCACUGCCUGACUGUCUGCACUUCAGGAGGGGUGAACGUGAGCAAGCUGAUACACGGAUGCCAUUCCCACCCCAGCUGUGGGCUGUGUGUUCCCCACCUAGGGCUUGCCACCAUUUGGAUAAGGCCAGAACCAUUUCUUACCUGCAGCCAGGGUCACCUUGAGAAAACCUUCACUCAGGCUCCUUGGUGCUCCGCUUUCUCAUUAGAGAAAAUCUGAAACUUCUUUAACUUACUGACCCAUAAAGACACUUACUAAAUGUCAAGUGUAUUAAGGAACGUUCGUUUUAUGUGUGUGGAGACAUCAUUGCUAGUGUUUUCUCCUUCGAAUUUGACUUACCUUUUGAUUUGUUAUUGAAAAUAAGAUAAAUCUCCUUCUUCCUUGCCACUGAGUUCGCAAACUGACCCUAAUUGCCACAGGAGUGCUGGCUUCUGCCUCAGGGCUACUUCCUCAUUAGAAAAGUGUAUUUGUGAUACAUGACAGAAAUUACACGCCCUCCACCUACCUGACUUUUGUGAAAGUAAAAUUAAGUGUUAUUAGGAAGAACAUCUUCCCUGCUAUGUUCUUACCAUAUUACAUCUUUCAAUACCACAUUCAUAUAAGUCAAAUCUCUCAAAUAUUUAAAUUGGAUUAAUUUAUUCUCAUGGCUCAGGGGCAGGGCUUAAAUUUAUAUGCAAAUGUCACAACUUCUAAAGGUCUGGAUUCAUCUCGUUGUUGGAGUGUGGCUUUGCAUCUCACAGAGUGUGCAUGUCACUCCCUGAAAUACAAAUGACUUUCUCCACUCAUCCUUAGUGCAAUAACUGGACGGGAAUAUCUGAAUUCAUAUACAUGCAUAAGAUCUGCUUUAUAAUUCCGUAUAUUUUGUACAAGAGGGCUUACAAUAGAUAUUACCUUUUACUUUCAAAAUGAUAUCAUAGAUAUCACGAUUAAGCCGAAUAAAUAUCUCCUGGAAUACUGUGAAGCAUUAAUAGAAUCGAAAUAACAAAAUAUUCAUAAAAUAAUGUGCAGAGGAAAGAGUAUUUUCACACAAUUGCUGGAAGGAGGACAUAAUUGUAUACAAAUUGAUUCACCCUUGUUUUGAAACAACUCUGGAAAUAAAAA